UACAUGGGGUGCAAACGUUGCUCGGAAUCAUUGGGCGUAAAGCGCACGUAGGCGGUUCGUUAUGUCGGAUGUGAAAGCCCUCGGCUUAACCGGGGAAGUGCAUCCGAAACUGGCGAGCUUGAGUACUAAAGAGGGUCGCGGAAUUCCCGGUGUAGCGGUGAAAUGCGUAGAUAUCGGAAGGAACAUCAGUGGCGAAAGCGACUUCCUGGACCAAUACUGACGCUCAUGUGCGAAAGCGUGGGGAGCAAACAGG
Molecule: ribosomal RNA, 253 nt
Filed under: uncultured bacterium
Lineage: Bacteria
Description: partial 16S ribosomal RNA
Rfam family: Bacterial small subunit ribosomal RNA
Source: RNAcentral